RNAcentral lists this ribosomal RNA (459 nucleotides) under uncultured bacterium. RNAcentral's name for it is "bacterial SSU rRNA". It matches the Rfam family "Bacterial small subunit ribosomal RNA", at positions 33 to 507 of the family's 1533-position model. The record is from RNAcentral.
ACGCUGGCGGCGUGCCUAACACAUGCAAGUCGAACGGGGUAAUUGCUUCGGUGAUUACUUAGUGGCGAACGGGUGAGUAACGCGUGAGGAACCUGCCUCUCAGGUGGGGGACAACAGUUGGAAACAGUUGCUAAUACCGUAUGAAAUGGCAAUGUCGCAUGACAUAACCAUCAAAGAUUCAUCGCCCAAGGAUGAGCUUGCGUCCGAUUAGAUAGUUGGUGAGGUAACGGCUCACCAAGUCGACGAUCGGUAGCCGGACUGAGAGGCUGAACGGCCACAUUGGAACUGAGAUACGGUCCAGACUCCUACGGGAGGCAGCAGUGGGGAAUAUUGGGCAAUGGGCGAAAGCCUGACCCAGCGACGCCGCGUGAGGGAAGAAGAUCUUCGGAUUGUAAACCUUAGUCAACAGGGAAGAAGAAAGUGACGGUACCUGUGGAGGAAGCCACGGCUAACUACGUG